This 253-nucleotide ribosomal RNA is filed under the name uncultured bacterium. Its description in RNAcentral is "partial 16S ribosomal RNA". It matches the Rfam family "Bacterial small subunit ribosomal RNA", at positions 524 to 776 of the family's 1533-position model. The record is from RNAcentral.
UACGUAGGGGGCGAGUGUUAUCCGGAUUCACUGGGUGUAAAGGGAGCGUAGACGGCCAUGCAAGCCAGGGGUGAAAGCCCGGGGCCCAACCCCGGGACUGCCCUUGGAACUGCAUGGCUGGAGUGCGGGAGGGGCAGGCGGAAUUCCUGGUGUAGCGGUGAAAUGCGUAGAUAUCAGGAGGAACACCGGCGGCGAAGGCGGCCUGCUGGACCGCGACUGACGUUGAGGCUCGAAAGCGUGGGGAGCGAACAGG